RNAcentral lists this transfer RNA (85 nucleotides) under Felis catus (domestic cat). It matches the Rfam family "tRNA". From Rfam's summary of the family: Transfer RNA (tRNA) molecules are approximately 80 nucleotides in length. Their secondary structure includes four short double-helical elements and three loops (D, anti-codon, and T loops). Further hydrogen bonds mediate the characteristic L-shaped molecular structure. tRNAs have two regions of fundamental functional importance: the anti-codon, which is responsible for specific mRNA codon recognition, and the 3' end, to which the tRNAs corresponding amino acid is attached (by aminoacyl-tRNA synthetases). tRNAs cope with the degeneracy of the genetic code in two manners: having more than one tRNA (with a specific anti-codon) for a particular amino acid; and 'wobble' base-pairing, i.e. permitting non-standard base-pairing at the 3rd anti-codon position. RNAcentral also lists the same sequence under 1 other name. The record is from Rfam by way of RNAcentral. Lineage: Eukaryota; Metazoa; Chordata; Mammalia; Carnivora; Felidae.
GCCUGGGUGGCUCAGUCGGUUAAGCGUCUGACUUCAGCUCAGGUCAUGAUCUCACAGUGUGUGGGUUCAAGCCCCACAUUGGGCU